UUAAGUUCAGCGGGUAUUCCUACCUGAUCCGAGGUCAACGUUCAGAAAUUGGGUUGUUUUGAGGCGUGGCCACGUCGGGGUUCCGGUGCGAGGUGAAAUUACUACGCAGAGGUCGCCGCGGACGGACCGCCACUCCAUUUCGGGGUCGGCGUAUGCUGCCGGUCCCCAACACCGUGCUCCCCGAAGGGUGCGCGAGGGUU
This 200-nucleotide unclassified non-coding RNA is filed under the name Lecanicillium sp. RNAcentral's name for it is "partial internal transcribed spacer 2". The record is from RNAcentral. Lineage: Eukaryota; Fungi; Ascomycota; Sordariomycetes; Hypocreales; Cordycipitaceae.